UACGUAGGGUGCGAGCGUUGUCCGGAAUUAUUGGGCGUAAAGAGCUCGUAGGCGGUGUGUCACGUCGGCCGUGAAAACCUGGGGCUUAACUCUGGGCGUGCGGUCGAUACGGGCAUCACUAGAGUUCGGCAGGGGAGACUGGAAUUCCUGGUGUAGCGGUGAAAUGCGCAGAUAUCAGGAGGAACACCGAUGGCGAAGGCAGGUCUCUGGGCCACUACUGACGCUGAGAAGCGAAAGCGUGGGGAGCGAACAGG
This 254-nucleotide ribosomal RNA is filed under the name uncultured bacterium. Its description in RNAcentral is "partial 16S ribosomal RNA". It matches the Rfam family "Bacterial small subunit ribosomal RNA", at positions 524 to 776 of the family's 1533-position model. The record is from RNAcentral.